GUCAAAAAAAACUAGUACAGAAAAGGCGGAAGAAUUAGCAUACAAAAAGUUCUGUUUCUAACAAACAUGCAAUUAUACGUGAUUCACCUACAAAUAAUCUUGCCUAAAAUCUAGCAUGUGUCAAUUUCAUGCACAAAGCUUAUUAGAGUAAACAAAUGCAUUAAAUCAAGAAAAACUUGCUCUGCAUUUUAUGUCACAGUUCUGCUUCUUAGCUGAACACCAUAACAAUUUACAAUCCUGACUAAAACUUCACCUGAUGUUCAAUACAACACCACGUGUUAUGGAAAGAGCUUUUGGGUCCGCGUGGAAAUGAAUUCUCAGAAACUGGAAAACUAAAUUGUUGAAAUGGCAAUUCAAUCUACUGAGAAGACUACUAGAAGACAGAUAAAUUCAAUGAAAAAUUAUAUCUAGAGAAUCCAAUCUACUGCACGUCAGUCCCAUACAACACAAUACCCUCAACUAUUAGAUUCAUCGAUGCUGUAAACACACAAUAAAUGAGUUUAUUUACAGCAUCACAAAGACACAAAUCCCAAAACACAUAAUUCCAAUCUACUGCACGUCAGUCCCAUACAACACAAUACCCUCAACUAUUAGAUUCAUUGAUGCUGUAAACACACAAUAAAUAAGUUUAUUUACAGCAUCACAAAGACACAAAUCCCAAAACACAUAAUUCCACCUUUCCCUUUAGACCAGGUUUAGCUCAGUUCAUACAUUAAAAGAAAGCACACCACAAUUUAAGAACUUCCAACCCCUGAAUUAAACUAAAGAAGUUUCUACUGAAAAUACCU
This 788-nucleotide long non-coding RNA is filed under the name Populus trichocarpa (black cottonwood). RNAcentral's name for it is "long non-coding RNA (PTRI_LNC001297)". The record is from RNAcentral. Lineage: Eukaryota; Viridiplantae; Streptophyta; Magnoliopsida; Malpighiales; Salicaceae.